GACGAACGCUGGCGGCGUGCUUAACACAUGCAAGUCGAACGGAAAGGCCCUGCUUUUGUGGGGUGCUCGAGUGGCGAACGGGUGAGUAACACGUGAGUAACCUGCCCUUGACUUUGGGAUAACUUCAGGAAACUGGGGCUAAUACCGGAUAGGAGCUCCUGCUGCAUGGUGGGGGUUGGAAAGUUUCGGCGGUUGGGGAUGGACUCGCGGCUUAUUAGCUUGUUGGUGGGGUAGUGGCUUACCAAGGCUUUGACGGGUAGCCGGCCUGAGAGGGUGACCGGCCACAUUGGGACUGAGCUGCGGCCCAGACUCCUACGGGAGGCAGCAGUGGGGAAUAUUGCACAAUGGGCGGAAGCCUGAUGCAGCAACGCCGCGUGCGGGAUGACGGCCUUCGGGUUGUAAACCGCUUUCGCCUGUGACGAAGCGUGAGUGACGGUAAUGGGUAAAGAAGCACCGGCUAACUCCGUG
RNAcentral lists this ribosomal RNA (468 nucleotides) under uncultured bacterium. Its description in RNAcentral is "partial 16S ribosomal RNA". It matches the Rfam family "Bacterial small subunit ribosomal RNA", at positions 28 to 507 of the family's 1533-position model. The record is from RNAcentral.